ACGACUGAUCCAAAGAAACAUGAAGGAGAUGCUGCUGCUUCACUUUUUAAAUGUAAAGUUUAAAGUGCUGUGGACACUAAAUUGUGUUUACUUAAAAAAAAAGAAAUCUCAGAUAUAAAACCAGUUUUAUCUGGAAGGACACAAACCACCACAGGUAAUGUCUUUAUGAAUCAGUCUGGGGUCGUUCUCCUGCUGCAGCAUGAAUUUGGGACGGAUCAGAUGCCUCCAUGAAGAUGACGCUCGUGACGUUUCAGUGUUGGACGGUUAAGCUUCCACUGUGGCGGACUCUGAGUCUGUGGACGUCCUGGACAGAAAAUAAA
This is a long non-coding RNA of Paralichthys olivaceus (Japanese flounder), 320 nucleotides long. RefSeq lists it as uncharacterized. NCBI's taxonomy places the organism in Eukaryota, Metazoa, Chordata, Actinopteri, Pleuronectiformes, Paralichthyidae. The record is from RefSeq and is a predicted model, not a curated record.